This 1118-nucleotide long non-coding RNA is filed under the name Salmo salar (Atlantic salmon). RNAcentral's name for it is "lncRNA (ENSSSAG00000087186.1)". Lineage: Eukaryota; Metazoa; Chordata; Actinopteri; Salmoniformes; Salmonidae. The record is from RNAcentral.
CUGAGGUGAGAUGGACAGAUAGGGGAGCUGUUGAUGAAAUAACAGGACAAAAAAGAGAAGAGCUCCACCAACAAAUGGACAAAAUGCCACCAGUCUAACAAAACACAGCUCUGUGUGUUCGCCUGGCUGGAGGAGAUGGAGAAGAAGAAAUGAAAUUGGACUUUCUUUUCUGUUUGGAGAAAGCCUGCUCUACCUGCAUCAUCACCACCACCACCACCACCACUACCACCACCAACACCCCGGCAGCCUGCUCUACCUGCAUCAUCACCACCACCACCACCCCGGCAGCCUGCUCUACCUGCAUCAUCACCACCACCACCACCAUCAUCACAACCACCACCACCACCACCCUGGCAGCCUGCUCUACCUGCAUCAUCACCACCACCACCACCCCGGCAGCCUGCUCUACCUGCAUCAUCACCACCACCACCACCCCGGCAGCCUGCUCUACCUGCAUCAUCACCACCACCACCCCGGCAGCCUGCUCUACCUGCAUCAUCACCACCACCACCACCAUCAUCACCACCACCACCACCCUGGCAGCCUGCUCUACCUGCAUCAUCACCACCACCACCACCCCGACAGCCUGCUCUACCUGCAUCAUCACCACCACCACCACCCCGGCAGCCUGCUCUACCUGCAUCAUCACCACCACCACCACCCCGGCAGCCUGCUCUACCUGCAUCAUCACCACCACCACCCCGGCAGCCUGCUCUACCUGCAUCAUCACCACCACCACCACCAUCAUCACCACCACCACCACCCCGGCAGCCUGCUCUACCUGCAUCAUCACCACCACCACCACCAUCAUCACCACCACCACCACCCUGGCAGCCUGCUCUACCUGCAUCAUCACCACCACCACCACCCCGACAGCCUGCUCUACCUGCAUCAUCACCACCACCACCACCACCACCAUCAUCACCACCACCACCACCACCCCGGCAGCCUGCUCUACCUGCAUCAUCAUCACCACCACCACCACCACCAUCAUCACCACCACCACCCCGACAGCCUGCUCUACCUGCAUCAUCACCACCACCACCACCACCAUCAUCACCACCACCACCACCACCCCGGCAGCCUGCUCUACCUGCAUCAUCACCACCACCACCACC